This 468-nucleotide ribosomal RNA is filed under the name uncultured bacterium. Its description in RNAcentral is "partial 16S ribosomal RNA". It matches the Rfam family "Bacterial small subunit ribosomal RNA", at positions 28 to 507 of the family's 1533-position model. The record is from RNAcentral.
GACGAACGCUGGCGGCGUGCUUAACACAUGCAAGUCGAACGGUGAAAGAAGAGCUUGCUCUUCUGGAUCAGUGGCGAACGGGUGAGUAACACGUGUGUAACCUGCCCCAGACUCUGGAAUAAGCGCUGGAAACGGCGCCUAAUACCGGAUACGAUACAGAGCUGCAUGGCUACUGUCUGGAAAGUUUUUCGGGCUGGGUUGGACUCGCGGCUUACCAGCUUGUUGGUGAGGUAACGGAUCACCAAGGCAACGACGGGUAGCCGGCCUGAGAGGGCGACCGGCCGCACUGGGACUGAGGCACGGCCGAGACUCCUACGGGAGGCAGCAGUGGGGAAUAUUGCACAAUGGACGAAGGCCUGAUGAAGCGGCGCCGCGUGAGGGAUGACGGCCUUCGGGUUAUAGACCUGUUUCAGCAGGGAAGAAGCGAAAGUGGCGGUAACUGAAGAAGAAGCACCGGCUAACUACGUG